This is a long non-coding RNA of Cyprinus carpio (common carp), 1353 nucleotides long. The record is from Ensembl. Lineage: Eukaryota; Metazoa; Chordata; Actinopteri; Cypriniformes; Cyprinidae.
AUGUCCAAUCUCACACCAGACGCUCAGGCCCGUCCAGACCAGACUGAGAGUGAUGGGUCCUCUGAACCGUCACCCCAGGCUUUGAGGAAGCCACCUGGGCAUCUGAAAUUGGCACGCAGCCUUUCUAAAUCAGACUCCGACCUGCUGGCUUCCCCUCAUUGUGAGGACGACGGGCCUCUUGGUGGCCGGAGCGAAUCCCUGUCCAACUGUGCUGAUGAGAGGAAGGAAACGGAGCAGAUGCCAUCGUUUGCCUCCGAAUGGGACGAGGUAAGAGCUGAUGAACUAAGAGUAGAGGAGGGAGAACAUGAGACUUCCUCUCAUGAGGGACAGACCAGAGCAGACACCCGCGUGCUGGAGCAGUCGGUGGGGGAGUGGCUGGAACACGUGGGCUUUCCUCAGUAUGAGAGCAAACUGGUUCUCAAUGGCUUCGAUGACCUGCGCUACAUGGGGAGUAACGUGAUGGAAGAUGAGGACCUUCAGGGAAUUGGCAUCACCGACCCAGGACACAGAAAGAAAAUCCUUCAUGCAGCAAAAAGCCUCCCAAAGGUGAAAGCUCUGGGGUGUGACGGCAGCCCCUCUCUGUCCUCAUGGCUGGAAACUCUGGGUCUUGGAGAGUAUCUGCACAACUUCCUGUCUAGCGGCUACCGCACCCUGGACUGCGUAAAGAAUCUGUGGGAGCUCGAAAUUGUUAAUGUGUUGAAAAUUGGCCUUCUUGGUCACAGAAAAAGAAUCAUAGCCUCAAUAGCAGAGCGACCAUAUGAGGAAGCACCUUCGAAAUCCAACCGCUUUUCCCAGCUCAAGAUUCAGGACCUGUUGUCUCAAAAUACGUCACCGCUCAGUUAUAUGGAUCCGUACACCAGUCGCUCCAUGGAUAUGUUGCUUCCGUUGGGAGAAUCAGGCAGAAAGAGCCGAGACCGUCAUGCAGAUCGACAUUCACGUCUAAAUAUUCGUCCUUCCAGCCACUCUGCCACAUAUACCACAGUCUCCACCUGGCACCAUCACCCUGACAAACUUAUCACCGAGUCCUGCGUUUAUGAGGCCAGAUAUUUAGGGUCUGUGAUCAUCCGAGACCUACGAGGAAUUGAAUCUACACAGGAGGCCUGCGCUAGAAUAAGGAAAUCAAAGGAUCACCGGAAAGGUCCCGUCAUAAUCCUGAAUAUCACCUACAAAGGAGUCAAGUUUGUUGACGCAGCCACCAAGGCGAUGGUUGCAGAGCAUGAUAUCCAGAACAUCUCUUGCGCAGCCCAGGAUCCAGAUGAUCUUUGCACAUUUGCAUACAUCACAAAAGAUCUGAAGUCUGGUUAUCACUUCUGCCAUGUCUUCACUACAGUAGAAGUGGUGGGGGAAAUUUAA